CCUACGGGAGGCAGCAGUGGGGAAUUUUGGACAAUGGGCGCAAGCCUGAUCCAGCAAUGCCGCGUGAGUGAAGAAGGCCUUCGGGUUGUAAAGCUCUUUUGUCAGGGAAGAAACGGUGGGGGCUAAUAUCUCCUACUAAUGACGGUACCUGAAGAAUAAGCACCGGCUAACUACGUGCCAGCAGCCGCGGUAAUACGUAGGGUGCAAGCGUUAAUCGGAAUUACUGGGCGUAAAGCGUGCGCAGGCGGUUUUGUAAGUCUGUCGUGAAAGCCCCGGGCUCAACCUGGGAAUUGCGAUGGAGACUGCAAGGCUUGAAUCUGGCAGAGGGGGGUAGAAUUCCACGUGUAGCAGUGAAAUGCGUAGAGAUGUGGAGGAACACCGAUGGCGAAGGCAGCCCCCUGGGUCAAGAUUGACGCUCAUGCACGAAAGCGUGGGGAGCAAACAGGAUUAGAUACCCUGGUAGUCCACGCCCUAAACGAUGUCUACUAGUUGUCGGGUUUUAAUUAACUUGGUAACGCAGCUAACGCGUGAAGUAGACCGCCUGGGGAGUACGGUCGCAAGAUUAAACGUUCAAAGGAUUGACGG
This 585-nucleotide ribosomal RNA is filed under the name uncultured bacterium. RNAcentral's name for it is "bacterial SSU rRNA". It matches the Rfam family "Bacterial small subunit ribosomal RNA", at positions 338 to 916 of the family's 1533-position model. The record is from RNAcentral.